GACGAACCGUCCAAACGUUAUUCGGAAUCACUGGGCUUACAGAGUUCGUAGGCGGUCUGGAAAGUUGGGUGUGAAAUCCCUCGGCCUAACCGAGGAACUGCGCUUGAAACUACCAGACUCGAGGGGGAUAGAGGAAAGCGGAACUGAUGGUGGAGCGGUGAAAUGCGUUGAUAUCAUCAGGAACACCGGUGGCGAAAGCGGCUCACUGGGGCUUUUCUGACGCUGAGGGACGAAAGCUAGGGGAGCGAACGGGG
RNAcentral lists this ribosomal RNA (254 nucleotides) under uncultured bacterium. Its description in RNAcentral is "partial 16S ribosomal RNA". It matches the Rfam family "Bacterial small subunit ribosomal RNA", at positions 524 to 777 of the family's 1533-position model. The record is from RNAcentral.